AUGACGACGACGCGCCCCGCCGCUACGACCGAGGAAGAGGAAGAGGAGGAGGCGGUGGUGGCCGCCUCUGCAGCGGCCAAUGCCGCGCCACCGGACGCAGACGAUCGGGAGCAGCAGAAGAAGGUUCGGGCGAGGAAGAAGAAGAAGCGUCGGAGGGCGCCGAGCGAGGAGGAGCUGGCCGCGCUGAGGUCCGUGCUCCGCUGGGCCCGCCGCGGCGAGGCGGGCGACGACGAUGCGGCGGACUGUGGUGGGCACCUGUUGCCGGCGGGGAGGCGGCGGCCGCGCGUGGCGGUGGAGCUGCAUGCGCACUCGACGCGCAGCGACGGCUCGCUCUCGCCCGCGGCGCUCGUGGAGCGCGCGCACCGCAACGGGGUGAAAGUGUUCGCGCUAACUGAUCAUGACACCAUGGCGGGUGUCGCGGAGGCGAUGGAGACUGCAAAGGAAUUUUCCAUCAGGAUCAUCCCUGCUGUUGAGAUAAGUGCAGUUUAUUCGCCUAGUAAUGGAUCAGGAGCCAAUGAACCUGUUCAUGUUCUUGCAUACUACGGUAGUUGGGGCCCUGCUAAAUCUCAGGAACUGGAGAAGGUUCUAUCUAGCAUCAGGGAGGGCCGCUAUACACGUGCCAAGGAGAUGCUAUCGAAACUUAGGAACCUCGGCAUGCCAUUGAACUUCGAAGAUGUAUCUAAUAUAGCAGGGAGUGGGGUGGCUCCAGGGCGGGUGCACGUUGCGCGUGCCAUGGUUGAAGCUGGAUAUGUUGAUAAUCUUAGGCAAGCUUUCAGCAGGUACUUGUACGAUGGAGGGCCUGCUUAUGCUACUGGUAGUGAGCCAGCUGGGGAAUCUGUUGUGCAGCUAAUAUGUAGAACUGGGGGCAUAGCUGUUUUGGCUCAUCCGUGGGCAUUGAAAAAUCCUGUUCCUGUGAUAAAGGAUUUGAAGGCUGCUGGUCUGCAUGCUAUUGAGGUCUAUCGAAGCGAUGGGAAACUAUCUGGAUUGAGUGAUCUGGCUGAUACUUAUGAGCUUCUGAAGCUCGGUGGAUCAGAUUACCAUGGACGAGAUGACAAGGAAGAACCUGAUAUAGGAAGUGUUGAUCUUCCGGUCUUGGCAUUUUUUAGAUUUCUUGAGGCAGCUCAACCAAUUUGGUGCAAUGCUAUCAAGGAAAUUUUUGCAAACGCCACUGAAAGAACUGGCUUGAAUGGCCCAAAAGGAUGUCAUCGGACUAACUCUGUAGAUGAUUUAUGUGAUACGUGCCUUUCUUCUCCAGAACUGGGGGAAACAGAUGAUUCUGAGGCUGAGGUCCUCAGGACGGAAUUUGCGGACAUUAUCCUCAGCAACAGAAGCUGCAAGACGCUUAUUGAACAGCGAGCGGAAAUCACCUCUCUUCUCCACUGA
RNAcentral lists this ribosomal RNA (1383 nucleotides) under Triticum aestivum (bread wheat). RNAcentral's name for it is "partial small subunit ribosomal RNA". The record is from RNAcentral. Lineage: Eukaryota; Viridiplantae; Streptophyta; Magnoliopsida; Poales; Poaceae.